Non-coding RNA from Paramisgurnus dabryanus, 1434 nucleotides. NCBI's taxonomy places the organism in Eukaryota, Metazoa, Chordata, Actinopteri, Cypriniformes, Cobitidae. The record is from RefSeq and is a predicted model, not a curated record.
GGUGGCUCCGGCAGACCCGUGGCUACGCCCCUGCCGUGACCCAAAUCUCGUUCGCACAUCAUCGCGAUAUGUAUCAUCUGUUUACAAACGUCGCCACUCGUUUCUUCACAUACAUCUCAUGCUCCUCCAUCUACACGCUCCACAACAUUUAAACCAACGGCUCUUUUAAGAGCCAUCACUUGCAAAAGCUCUCGUACUCGCUCUCCUACUCACUCACUCACUCUCCAACUCACUCUCCUACUAACGCACUCACUCUCCAACUCACUCACUCUUCUAUAGGGCUGUGCAAAAUAAUCGUCUGCGAUUCUCAUGCGUGUUUCAUCAGUAAAGCCGGUUCCGUGAUUAGAAGUAAAUCGCCAUCAGCUGCUUUCAGAUGGAGCGGCAUUUAUUACACAGACCCGUAGUUCACAGAGAACCCUACUCUCCUACGUAUACACACACACUCACUCACUCACUCUCUCUCACUCUCCCCCCUCUCUCUGUUUGUCCCUCUUUCAAUUUGUUUUGCCUAUUUCUCUUUGCAUUCUUUCUUUUCUUCAAUAUGGCAUCUUCAGGUUUUGACCAGUUAUGCCAGGAAGCUGCAACUAUUUCAAAGCAUCUUGACAUGAAAGCUGACAAUGCUGAACUUGGAGCAGCUACCAGAGAGGCUGAAGAAAUUCUACAAAUGUUCAAUCCUCCACUGCUGAAAAAGAUGACCAAAUGAGCGAUUUCCUGGACUCAACAGACACAGUGAACUUUGCACUGCAUUUCAAAGCCAGCUCCUCAGCCGCAACACAGAGAACCAGAGUUGAGGUCAAUGUACUGCUGAGAAAAGUGCAAGAUCUGUUUAACCAAAAUUAUAAGGAUGCCGGAGGUACUGGAAGGCUCCCCUGGUAAAUCAAGGCAUAACAGUUAAAGUUGCAGGACUGCCCAACAGCCUUACUUUCAAAAAGCCAUCCUAUUGUGGAAGGAAGCAAUUGGAGGCCAUUUUGCAAGCUGCUGAGGAGAUUUCAUUUGAAAUCAAUGCAGCACAAUGCAACUCCACUGACAAAGCAGAAGGAAUGUCAGAGGCAAUGGACGCAGAAGGUACAGAGCUGGAAGAAAAGUCCUCAGAAACAGCCACUACUGUAGCUAUCGUGAUGACUGCAGAUUAAGAUGGAGGCCAUUUGUGCUGUAACUGCCACGUCCUUUCGAUGACAGGAAGAAGAAUGCUUCAGAGAAGUGGCGUUCAUGGUCACAGUGCACAGUGUGCCAAUCAUGUUCACACACUGCAUGUCAAGACACCAUGCAAACAGCCUGUAGCACUGCAGCAGUGAUAGGAAACAUGCUAGUUACACAAGAUGUUUUAUGUUUUAACUUUGAGUUGUUUUUACUUUGUUCAUGACCCCAUCCCUACACACACACACACACACACAUUUUUUUUAUUUUUAUGUAUUAGGUGCCAUUUAAUCUUUU